This 1552-nucleotide ribosomal RNA is filed under the name Salmonella enterica. RNAcentral describes it as "bacterial SSU rRNA". It matches the Rfam family "Bacterial small subunit ribosomal RNA". The record is from RNAcentral. Lineage: Bacteria; Pseudomonadati; Pseudomonadota; Gammaproteobacteria; Enterobacterales; Enterobacteriaceae. RNAcentral also lists the same sequence under 1 other name.
AAAUUGAAGAGUUUGAUCAUGGCUCAGAUUGAACGCUGGCGGCAGGCCUAACACAUGCAAGUCGAACGGUAACAGGAAGCAGCUUGCUGCUUUGCUGACGAGUGGCGGACGGGUGAGUAAUGUCUGGGAAACUGCCUGAUGGAGGGGGAUAACUACUGGAAACGGUGGCUAAUACCGCAUAACGUCGCAAGACCAAAGAGGGGGACCUUCGGGCCUCUUGCCAUCAGAUGUGCCCAGAUGGGAUUAGCUAGUUGGUGAGGUAACGGCUCACCAAGGCGACGAUCCCUAGCUGGUCUGAGAGGAUGACCAGCCACACUGGAACUGAGACACGGUCCAGACUCCUACGGGAGGCAGCAGUGGGGAAUAUUGCACAAUGGGCGCAAGCCUGAUGCAGCCAUGCCGCGUGUAUGAAGAAGGCCUUCGGGUUGUAAAGUACUUUCAGCGGGGAGGAAGGUGUUGUGGUUAAUAACCACAGCAAUUGACGUUACCCGCAGAAGAAGCACCGGCUAACUCCGUGCCAGCAGCCGCGGUAAUACGGAGGGUGCAAGCGUUAAUCGGAAUUACUGGGCGUAAAGCGCACGCAGGCGGUCUGUCAAGUCGGAUGUGAAAUCCCCGGGCUCAACCUGGGAACUGCAUUCGAAACUGGCAGGCUUGAGUCUUGUAGAGGGGGGUAGAAUUCCAGGUGUAGCGGUGAAAUGCGUAGAGAUCUGGAGGAAUACCGGUGGCGAAGGCGGCCCCCUGGACAAAGACUGACGCUCAGGUGCGAAAGCGUGGGGAGCAAACAGGAUUAGAUACCCUGGUAGUCCACGCCGUAAACGAUGUCUACUUGGAGGUUGUGCCCUUGAGGCGUGGCUUCCGGAGCUAACGCGUUAAGUAGACCGCCUGGGGAGUACGGCCGCAAGGUUAAAACUCAAAUGAAUUGACGGGGGCCCGCACAAGCGGUGGAGCAUGUGGUUUAAUUCGAUGCAACGCGAAGAACCUUACCUGGUCUUGACAUCCACAGAAGAAUCCAGAGAUGGAUUUGUGCCUUCGGGAACUGUGAGACAGGUGCUGCAUGGCUGUCGUCAGCUCGUGUUGUGAAAUGUUGGGUUAAGUCCCGCAACGAGCGCAACCCUUAUCCUUUGUUGCCAGCGAUUAGGUCGGGAACUCAAAGGAGACUGCCAGUGAUAAACUGGAGGAAGGUGGGGAUGACGUCAAGUCAUCAUGGCCCUUACGACCAGGGCUACACACGUGCUACAAUGGCGCAUACAAAGAGAAGCGACCUCGCGAGAGCAAGCGGACCUCAUAAAGUGCGUCGUAGUCCGGAUUGGAGUCUGCAACUCGACUCCAUGAAGUCGGAAUCGCUAGUAAUCGUGGAUCAGAAUGCCACGGUGAAUACGUUCCCGGGCCUUGUACACACCGCCCGUCACACCAUGGGAGUGGGUUGCAAAAGAAGUAGGUAGCUUAACCUUCGGGAGGGCGCUUACCACUUUGUGAUUCAUGACUGGGGUGAAGUCGUAACAAGGUAACCGUAGGGGAACCUGCGGUUGGAUCACCUCCUUACCUUAAAGAA